AUUGAACGCUGGCGGCAGGCCUAACACAUGCAAGUCGAGCGCCCCGCAAGGGGAGCGGCGGACGGGUGAGUAACGCGUGGGAACGUACCCUUUGCUACGGAAUAGCCUCGGGAAACUGGGAGUAAUACCGUAUGUGCCCUUCGGGGGAAAGAUUUAUCGGCAAAGGAUCGGCCCGCGUUGGAUUAGGUAGUUGGUGGGGUAAUGGCCUACCAAGCCGACGAUCCAUAGCUGGUUUGAGAGGAUGAUCAGCCACACUGGGACUGAGACACGGCCCAGACUCCUACGGGAGGCAGCAGUGGGGAAUCUUAGACAAUGGGCGCAAGCCUGAUCUAGCCAUGCCGCGUGAGCGAUGAAGGCCUUAGGGUUGUAAAGCUCUUUCAGUGGGGAAGAUAAUGACUGUACCCACAGAAGAAGCCCCGGCUAACUCCGUGCCAGCAGCCGCGGUAAUGUACAGUGU
This 457-nucleotide ribosomal RNA is filed under the name uncultured bacterium. RNAcentral's name for it is "bacterial SSU rRNA". It matches the Rfam family "Bacterial small subunit ribosomal RNA", at positions 30 to 533 of the family's 1533-position model. The record is from RNAcentral.